This 464-nucleotide ribosomal RNA is filed under the name uncultured bacterium. Its description in RNAcentral is "partial 16S ribosomal RNA". It matches the Rfam family "Bacterial small subunit ribosomal RNA", at positions 28 to 506 of the family's 1533-position model. The record is from RNAcentral.
GACGAACGCUGGCGGCGUGCUUAACACAUGCAAGUCGAACGGAAAGGCCCUGCUUGCAGGGUACUCGAGUGGCGAACGGGUGAGUAACACGUGGGUGAUCUGCCCUGCACUUCGGGAUAAGCCUGGGAAACUGGGUCUAAUACCGGAUAGGAGCCAUUUUUAGUGUGAUGGUUGGAAAGUUUUUUCGGUGUUGGAUGAGCUCGCGGCCUAUCAGCUUGUUGGUGGGGUAAUGGCCUACCAAGGCGGCGACGGGUAGCCGGCCUGAGAGGGUGGACGGCCACAUUGGGACUGAGAGACGGCCCAGACUCCUACGGGAGGCAGCAGUGGGGAAUAUUGCACAAUGGGCGCAAGCCUGAUGCAGCGACGCCGCGUGGGGGAUGACGGCCUUCGGGUUGUAAACUCCUUUCGCUAGGGACGAAGCUUUUUGUGACGGUACCUAGAUAAGAAGCACCGGCUAACUACGU